UGGGUCAGGUGGCCAUUCUUC
RNAcentral lists this unclassified non-coding RNA (21 nucleotides) under Mus musculus (house mouse). Its description in RNAcentral is "oocyte_clustered_small_RNA11816". The record is from RNAcentral. Lineage: Eukaryota; Metazoa; Chordata; Mammalia; Rodentia; Muridae.